GCUGGCGGCGUGCCUAAUACAUGCAAGUCGAACGAGUUCUCGUUGAUGAUCGGUGCUUGCACCGAGAUUCAACAUGGAACGAGUGGCGGACGGGUGAGUAACACGUGGGUAACCUGCCCUUAAGUGGGGGAUAACAUUUGGAAACAGAUGCUAAUACCGCAUAGAUCCAAGAACCGCAUGGUUCUUGGCUGAAAGAUGGCGUAAGCUAUCGCUUUUGGAUGGACCCGCGGCGUAUUAGCUAGUUGGUGAGGUAAUGGCUCACCAAGGCGAUGAUACGUAGCCGAACUGAGAGGUUGAUCGGCCACAUUGGGACUGAGACACGGCCCAAACUCCUACGGGAGGCAGCAGUAGGGAAUCUUCCACAAUGGACGCAAGUCUGAUGGAGCAACGCCGCGUGAGUGAAGAAGGCUUUCGGGUCGUAAAACUCUGUUGUUGGAGAAGAAUGGUCGGCAGAGUAACUGUUGUCGGCGUGACGGUAUCCAACCAGAAAGCCACGGCUAACUACGUGCCAGCAGCCGCGGUAAUACGUAGGUGGCAAGCGUUAUCCGGAUUUAUUGGGCGUAAAGCGAGCGCAGGCGGUUUUUUAAGUCUGAUGUGAAAGCCCUCGGCUUAMCCGAGGAAGCGCAUCGGAAACUGGGAAACUUGAGUGCAGAAGAGGACAGUGGAACUCCAUGUGUAGCGGUGAAAUGCGUAGAUAUAUGGAAGAACACCCAGUGGCGAAGGCGGCUGUCUGGUCUGUAACUGACGCUGAGGCUCGAAAGCAUGGGUAGCGAACAGGAUUAGAUACCCUGGUAGUCCAUGCCGUAAACGAUGAAUGCUAGGUGUUGGAGGGUUUCCGCCCUUCAGUGCCGCAGCUAACGCAUUAAGCAUUCCGCCUGGGGAGUACGACCGCAAGGUUGAAACUCAAAGGAAUUGACGGGGGCCCGCACAAGCGGUGGAGCAUGUGGUUUAAUUCGAAGCAACGCGAAGAACCUUACCAGGUCUUGACAUCUUUUGAUCACCUGAGAGAUCAGGUUUCCCCUUCGGGGGCAAAAUGACAGGUGGUGCAUGGUUGUCGUCAGCUCGUGUCGUGAGAUGUUGGGUUAAGUCCCGCAACGAGCGCAACCCUUAUGACUAGUUGCCAGCAUUUAGUUGGGCACUCUAGUAAGACUGCCGGUGACAAACCGGAGGAAGGUGGGGAUGACGUCAAAUCAUCAUGCCCCUUAUGACCUGGGCUACACACGUGCUACAAUGGAUGGUACAACGAGUUGCGAGACCGCGAGGUCAAGCUAAUCUCUUAAAGCCAUUCUCAGUUCGGACUGUAGGCUGCAACUCGCCUACACGAAGUCGGAAUCGCUAGUAAUCGCGGAUCAGCACGCCGCGGUGAAUACGUUCCCGGGCCUUGUACACACCGCCCGUCACACCAUGAGAGUUUGUAACACCCGAAGCCGGUGGCGUAACCCUUUUAGGGAGCGAGCCGUCUAAGGUGGGACAAAUGAUUA
RNAcentral lists this ribosomal RNA (1481 nucleotides) under Lacticaseibacillus casei. Its description in RNAcentral is "bacterial SSU rRNA". It matches the Rfam family "Bacterial small subunit ribosomal RNA". The record is from RNAcentral. Lineage: Bacteria; Bacillati; Bacillota; Bacilli; Lactobacillales; Lactobacillaceae.